Molecule: ribosomal RNA, 578 nt
Filed under: Streptomyces sp. HRRP051
Lineage: Bacteria; Bacillati; Actinomycetota; Actinomycetes; Kitasatosporales; Streptomycetaceae
Also listed under: 5 other names
Description: bacterial SSU rRNA
Rfam family: Bacterial small subunit ribosomal RNA
Source: RNAcentral
ACGGGUGAGUAACACGUGGGCAAUCUGCCCUUCACUCUGGGACAAGCCCUGGAAACGGGGUCUAAUACCGGAUAACACCUGCCCGGGCAUCUGGGUGGGUUAAAAGCUCCGGCGGUGAAGGAUGAGCCCGCGGCCUAUCAGCUUGUUGGUGAGGUAGUGGCUCACCAAGGCGACGACGGGUAGCCGGCCUGAGAGGGCGACCGGCCACACUGGGACUGAGACACGGCCCAGACUCCUACGGGAGGCAGCAGUGGGGAAUAUUGCACAAUGGGCGAAAGCCUGAUGCAGCGACGCCGCGUGAGGGAUGACGGCCUUCGGGUUGUAAACCUCUUUCAGCAGGGAAGAAGCGAAAGUGACGGUACCUGCAGAAGAAGCGCCGGCUAACUACGUGCCAGCAGCCGCGGUAAUACGUAGGGCGCAAGCGUUGUCCGGAAUUAUUGGGCGUAAAGAGCUCGUAGGCGGCUUGUCACGUCGGGUGUGAAAGCCCGGGGCUUAACCCCGGGUCUGCAUUCGAUACGGGCUAGCUAGAGUGUGGUAGGGGAGAUCGGAAUUCCUGGUGUAGCGGUGAAAUGCGCAGA